AUUUAAAAUCAAAGCAAUUAACAAAUGACAGUAAGAUAUUUUUAUCCAAGUUUCAUGCUGGAGAAAAAAAAACCCAGCAGCUUCAGAUUUAUACCAAGUUAACCAAAUAUGGAUAAUAAUGGACGUCACAUCUCUUGCUUAAUUAAACAAUCAGCAAUUUCUUCUAUAAUAUCAUUGACAGAGGCCUGGAUCUCUCCAUGCAGUUUGGUGCCUUCAAUGAGCAUGUUUGGUUUUCAUUUCUCAUUGUUAGUCGUUACACUGUACCAGCUGUUGUGCUGCCCAAUGAGGUGAACAUGAAGUUCCCCGAAAACAUAGCUUCCUUAUCUGUAAAUGACAGACAGUUGGAUUCCCUGCGAACAUACCUUGACAUAGCCUGGACAGGAAGCAAAGCAGCAUCACUUGGCGUAGAGGUACCAUCAUCAGAGAAGACAUUCCUCCAAAUUACAUUCUGCAACUCAUCCUGCUUAGCUUCAGGAAGCAUCGCAGCAUCAUAGGCGACAAUAUUACCAUAAAAUAUCUUUUCUAAAUCCUUCAUCCAUUUAAUCAACAAUAAGUUAACCCCAGCUUUAGAAA
RNAcentral lists this unclassified non-coding RNA (573 nucleotides) under Hevea brasiliensis (rubber tree). Lineage: Eukaryota; Viridiplantae; Streptophyta; Magnoliopsida; Malpighiales; Euphorbiaceae. The record is from RNAcentral.